GUCCAGACAGAGGCCAUGAAGCAGAUUCUCGGCAUAAACAAGAAACUUCGGAACCUGGAGAAGAAAAAGGGUAAACUUGAUGAUUACCAGGAAUGAAUGAAUAAAGGGGAAAGGCUCAAUUAAGACCAGCUGGAUGCUGUAUCUAAGUACCAGGAAGUCACAAAUAAUUUGGUGUUUGCAAAGGAAUUACAGAGGAGUUUCAUGGCAUUAAGUCAAGAUAUUCAGAAAGCAAUAAAGAAGACAGCAUGUCGGGAACAGCUUAUGACAGAAAAAGCAGAACAGAAGCGCUUAAAAACUGUACUUGAGUUACAGUAUGUAUUGGAUAAGCUGGGAGAUGAUGAUGUGAGAAUGGAUCUGAAACAAGGUUUGAGUGGAGUGCCAAUAUUGUCUGAAGGGGAGUUGCCAUUGUUGGAUGAGUUCUACAAGAUAGUAGACCCUGAGCGUGACAUGAGUUUAAGGUUAAAUGAGUUUAAGGUUACAUGCCUCAGCUCACUUGUGGGAUUUGCUGGAAGAGAAAGAAAAGCCUGUGUGUGGAGCAACCUAUAAAGCUCUAAAGGAAAUUGUUGAGCAUGUUUUUCAGACACACUACUUUGAUAGCACUCACAAUCAUCAAAACGGGUUGUGUGAGGAGGAAGAGGCAGCUUCAGCACCCACGGUGGAAGACCAGGUAGCUGAAGCUGAACCUGAGCCAGCGGAAGAAUACACAGAGCAAGGUGAGGUUGAAUCAACAGAGUAUGUCAAUAGGCAGUUCGUGGCAGAAACACAGUUCAGCAAUGGUGAGAAGGAGCAAGUGGAUGGGUGGGCAGUUGGAACAGUUGAGGUUGUAAACCCACUCCAGCAGCAACCUCAGACUGUAACCCCUUCAGUACCAGAGCCCCACUCUUUGACUCCAGUGGCUCAGUCAGAUCCACUUGUGAGAAGGCAGCAUGUACAAGAUCUUAUGGCACAAAUGCAAGGGCCCUAUAAUUUCAUACAUGAUUCAAUGUUGGGUUUUGAAAAUCAGACGCUUGAUCCUGCCAUUAUAUCAGCACAGUCUAUGAACCCUACCCAGAACAUGGAUAUGCCUCAGCUGGUUUACCCUCAGGUUCAUUCUGAAUCUAGACUUGCCCAAUCUAAUCAAGUUCCUGUACAGCCAGAAGCCACACAGGUUCCUUUAGAAACAGUGUUAUAACAGUUGUGUUAUAAGCUAGGGGUAUACAGCAUCUCAGCCCUUGUACCAGCCCUCUCAUGCUACAGCGCAGAGGCCACAGAAAGAGCCGAUUGAUCAGAUUCAGGCAACAAUAUCUUUAAAUACAGACCAGACUACAGCAUCCUCACCCCUUCCUGCUGCUUCUCAGCCUCAAGUAAACCUUAGCACAGCAGUGGAAUCAAUGUAAAUGCAGCUCCAUUCCAGUCCAUGCAAAGGGUGUUCAGUAUGAACGCUCCAGUUCCUCCUGUUAAUGAACCAGAAACUUUAAAACAACAGAGUCAGUACCAGACCAGUUAUAACCAGAGUUUUUCCAGUCAGCCUCACCAAGUGGAAAAAACAGAGCUUCAGCAAGACCAGCUGCAAACGGUGGUUGCUACUUAACCAUGGAUCCCAGGACCAGCCUCAUCAAGUGCCUGGUAACCACCAGCAACCCCCACAGCAGAACACUGGCUUUCCACGUAGCAGUCAGCCUUAUUACGACAGUCAUGGGGUAUCUCGAGGAGGGUCUCGUGGUGCCAGAGGCUUGAUGAAUGGAUACAGGGGCCCUGCCAAUGGAUUUAGAAGAUGGUAUGAUGGUUACCGCCCUUCAUUCUCGAACACUCCCAACAGUGGUUAUACACAGUCUCAGUUCAGUGUUCCCCGGGACUACUCUGGCUACCAGCGGGAUGGAUAUCAGCAGAAUUUCAAGUGAGGCUCUUGGCAGAGUGGACCACGGGGAGCCCCACGAGGUCGUGGAGGACCCACAAGACCCAACAGAGGGAUGCCACAAAGGAACACUCAGCAAGUGAAUUAA
Mus pahari (shrew mouse) is the source of this 1982-nucleotide RNA transcript. It is a transcript of the gene named caprin-1 pseudogene, with no coding region annotated. NCBI's taxonomy places the organism in Eukaryota, Metazoa, Chordata, Mammalia, Rodentia, Muridae. The record is from RefSeq and is a predicted model, not a curated record. The transcript has a single exon.